RNAcentral lists this ribosomal RNA (207 nucleotides) under uncultured bacterium. RNAcentral's name for it is "partial 16S ribosomal RNA". It matches the Rfam family "Bacterial small subunit ribosomal RNA", at positions 568 to 774 of the family's 1533-position model. The record is from RNAcentral.
CGUGUAGGCGGUUUGCCAAGUCAGAUGUGAAAGCCCCGGGCUUAACCUGGGAACUGCAUUUGAGACUGGUAGGCUAGAGGUUGGAAGAGGAGAGUGGAAUUCCCAGUGUAGAGGUGAAAUCCGUAGAUAUUGGGAAGAACACCAGUGGCGAAGGCGGCUCUCUGGUCCACACCCGACGCUGAGGCGCGAAAGCGUGGGGAGCAAACA